RNAcentral lists this ribosomal RNA (495 nucleotides) under uncultured bacterium. RNAcentral's name for it is "partial 16S ribosomal RNA". It matches the Rfam family "Bacterial small subunit ribosomal RNA", at positions 28 to 507 of the family's 1533-position model. The record is from RNAcentral.
GAUGAACGCUGGCGGCGUGCCUAGUACAUGCAAGUAGAACGCUGAAGGAGGAGCUUGCUCUUCUGGAUGAGUUGCGAACGGGUGAGUAACGCGUAGGUAACCUGCCUGGUAGCGGGGGAUAACUAUUGGAAACGAUAGCUAGUACCGCAUGACAACAGUUAUUGCAUGAUAACUGUUUAAAAGGGGCAACUGCUCCACUACCAGAUGGACCUGCGUUGUAUUAGCUAGUUGGUGAGGUAACGGCUCACCAAGGCGACGAUACAUAGCCGACCUGAGAGGGUGAUCGGCCACACUGGGACUGAGACACGGCCCAGACUCCUACGGGAGGCAGCAGUAGGGAAUCUUCGGCAAUGGACGGAAGUCUGACCGAGCAACGCCGCGUGAGUGAAGAAGGUUUUCGGAUCGUAAAGCUCUGUUGUAAGAGAAGAACGAGUGUGAGAGUGGAAAGUUCACACUGUGACGGUAUCUUACCAGAAAGGGACGGCUAACUACGUG